RNAcentral lists this ribosomal RNA (445 nucleotides) under uncultured bacterium. RNAcentral's name for it is "partial 16S ribosomal RNA". It matches the Rfam family "Bacterial small subunit ribosomal RNA", at positions 354 to 796 of the family's 1533-position model. The record is from RNAcentral.
GUGAGGAAUAUUGGACAAUGGGCGCAAGCCUGAUCCAGCCAUGCCGCGUGCAGGAAGACGCAUCUAUGGUGUGUAAACUGCUUUUGUACGGGAAGAAACACUCCAUCGUGAGGGAGCUUGACGGUACCGUAAGAAUAAGGAUCGGCUAACUCCGUGCCAGCAGCCGCGGUAAUACGGAGGAUCCAAGCGUUAUCCGGAAUCAUUGGGUUUAAAGGGUCCGUAGGCGGUUUAAUAAGUCAGUGGUGAAAGCCCAUCGCUCAACGAUGGAACGGCCAUUGAUACUGUUAGACUUGAAUUACAAGGAAGUAACUAGAAUAUGUAGUGUAGCGGUGAAAUGCUUAGAUAUUACAUGGAAUACCAAUUGCGAAGGCAGGUUACUACUUGUGGAUUGACGCUGAUGGACGAAAGCGUGGGGAGCGAACAGGAUUAGAAACCCCUGUAGUCC